Long non-coding RNA from Mesocricetus auratus (golden hamster), 461 nucleotides. RefSeq lists it as uncharacterized. Lineage: Eukaryota; Metazoa; Chordata; Mammalia; Rodentia; Cricetidae. The transcript has 3 exons. The record is from RefSeq and is a predicted model, not a curated record.
ACCAAAUCUCAUUAUAGAUGGUUGUAAGCCACCAUAUGGUUGCUGGGAAUUAAACUCAGGACCUCUGGAAGAGGAGCCCAUACUCUUAUCCUCUGAUCCAUCUCUCCAGCCCCCAGCAGAUCCUUUUCUAACCUUCAGAAUGGAGGCAGAAAGGAGGUUCUGUUUCUGCCUAACUCCAUAAUGGCUACAUGGCGGCCAACACAGUCCUAUCGCUUUUCAUUGGUCCUCACUGUCUCCAGCAACUAUCUUUCAUCCAACUCUGAUGUCUGGAUGACUUCAGUGGUCUGAUUGGCCAGGUUUGGUCUGCACAUCUUCCUGAAGUCAAAGAAGUGUUUGGACUACCUGCAGCUAGCUUGUUUCCCAGGCUGCAGCUCCAGGUGCAGAGUCCAGCAGUUCCAGUGAAUAAUGUAGGUAUAGCUGCAAGCAAGCCCGGAAGAAUCUGGCACAGCUUCGAGUCACCC